This is a long non-coding RNA of Cygnus olor (mute swan), 634 nucleotides long. RefSeq lists it as uncharacterized. The transcript has 3 exons. NCBI's taxonomy places the organism in Eukaryota, Metazoa, Chordata, Aves, Anseriformes, Anatidae. The record is from RefSeq and is a predicted model, not a curated record.
CCUGGAGCUGUGCUGGUACCUGCCAGGGAAAGCUGAGGAGUUCAAGCAGGAUAGCAGCUCUGGGCAAUCCCGCCCUAGUGGAGAGCAGCUCCCAUUCCCACAGGCACCUUUCCCUUUUGGAUGCCAUGGUGUUCCCCACCCGGCUGCUCUGGCCCUGCAGUUUGCCCUGAGAUGUGUAAAAGCACCGAGGAAGGCGGCAUGGCCACGGGCAGAAGAAGCCCUGGCAGAAACCAGCCCACGGGGACCUGCAGCCACUUGUGAAUCUCGGGCAAGAAGAGGUAGUCCCGGGUGGAUUAACAGUUUCUUUAACCAAGCCACUGUCUUCACCCUUGAAAUUUCUGGUAAAACUGAUCCAUUGUCUCUGAACAAGAUGGAAUUACGCAAAUAUAUUUACUUGCUUUAACAGACAAGGAAACGUCCUUCUGCCAAGUCACAGGUUCCAAAGCACUUUGGCAUCUCCGGAAAACAAACAACCCUUACCUUGCUUUUUUGGGGGAGCCAAAGCACAGUUUACAGCAUGGGAUGUAAUCUGAGCAUGCAAACCAAAGCUACUGGUUUGGUCUGAGCUUCCUUCCCACCAGGAAGCUCAGCUGCUACAAGAGACAGUAAGGGCUGCACACAGGAGUAGCUUGAU